Molecule: ribosomal RNA, 777 nt
Filed under: uncultured Neocallimastigales
Lineage: Eukaryota; Fungi; Neocallimastigomycota; Neocallimastigomycetes; Neocallimastigales
Description: partial large subunit ribosomal RNA
Rfam family: Eukaryotic large subunit ribosomal RNA
Source: RNAcentral
GUACACGCUGUGACUAGCAUAUCAAUAAGCGGAGGAAAAGAAACUAACAAGGAUUCCCCUAGUAACGGCGAGUGAAGCGGGAAGAGCUCAAAUUUGAAAUCUUAAAGGGUUUCCCUUUACGAAUUGUAGUUUAAAGAAGUGUUUUCUGUUGAGGAUUUUGGUAAAAGUUCUUUGGAAUAGGACAUCAUAGAGGGUGAGAAUCCCGUAUUUGACCUUUACUUUCAACUUUGUGAUACACUUUCAAAGAGUCGGAUUGUUUGGGAAUGCAGUCCAAAAUGGGUGGUAAAUUUCAUCUAAAGCUAAAUAUUGGCGAGAGACCGAUAGCGAACAAGUACCGUGAGGGAAAGAUGAAAAGAACUUUGAAAAGAGAGUUAAACAGUACGUGAAAUUGUCAAAAGGGAAGCGUUUGACACCAGUGUUGUUUUUCUGAAAAUCGAAUUAAAGAACUGUUUAUGCUAAGUUGUUUAGACUUUAUCAGCUAUCUGUUUAGUUUUGAGCUUUUCUUUAAUGCACUUUUCCAGUUAACAAGUCAACAUCAAUUUCUUUUGCUGUAAAAAAGCUUGAGGAAGGUGGCUUGAGAUUCGUCUUAAGUGUUUAUAGCCUCUUGCCUAUGCAGUCGGAGAGAUUGAGGUCUGCAGCGUAGAUCCUUCGGGGCUAAAUGCAUUUGUGCUAAGUUAUAGCAUUUUAUAGACAACUUGUUGACUAUGAUUUGUCUUGUAGCUUACUCGCUUAUGUUAUUUUACCUACGCUUAGGAUGUUGAGUCGUAGAGCACGCAG